AUGCCCAUGUUCCAUGAGUUCUAUAUUGGAACAUUAGAUAUGGCUAGGUUUAACUAUGGUGUCAUAUCCCUGAUCCCCAACGUAGUUGCGGCAACGGAUAUUAGGCAAUUCCGACCCACCACGGUGAUCAACGUGUUGGAGCUAAUCUUUGCGAAGGUCUGCGCGACUCGUUUAUCCCCUAUGGCGAAAAGGAUUGCCCACCCCCUUCUGUCUGCGUUCCUGAAGGGUAGGCGGAUCCAUGAUGGGAUUCUUGCCCUUCACGAGAUCGUCCACGAGAUGGCGUCGAAGGGACUUAAGGGGGUCUUCCUCAAAUUGGACCUCCAGAAGGCGUAUGACUGUCUGGACUAG
Molecule: ribosomal RNA, 348 nt
Filed under: Triticum aestivum (bread wheat)
Lineage: Eukaryota; Viridiplantae; Streptophyta; Magnoliopsida; Poales; Poaceae
Description: partial small subunit ribosomal RNA
Source: RNAcentral